GGACCCGCACAAGCGGUGGAGCAUGUGGUUUAAUUCGAUGCAACGCGAAAAACCUUACCUAUACUUGACAUACUUGGAAUGCUUUGUAAUGAAGCAGUGCCUUCGGGAGCCAGGAUACAGGUGCUGCAUGGCUGUCGUCAGCUCGUGUCGUGAGAUGUUCCGUUAAGUCGGAUAACGAGCGCAACCCUUACCCUUAUUUGCCAGCGAUUCGGUCGGGAACUAUAAGGGGACUGCCGGUGAUAAACCGGAGGAAGGUGAGGACGACGUCAAGUCAUCAUGGCCCUUACGUAUAGGGCUACACACGUGCUACAAUGGGGAAUACAGACGGACGCUAAGCCGCGAGGUGGUGCU
Molecule: ribosomal RNA, 351 nt
Filed under: uncultured bacterium
Lineage: Bacteria
Description: bacterial SSU rRNA
Rfam family: Bacterial small subunit ribosomal RNA
Source: RNAcentral